This 496-nucleotide ribosomal RNA is filed under the name uncultured bacterium. RNAcentral describes it as "partial 16S ribosomal RNA". It matches the Rfam family "Bacterial small subunit ribosomal RNA", at positions 29 to 523 of the family's 1533-position model. The record is from RNAcentral.
AUUGAACGCUGGCGGCAUGCUUUACACAUGCAAGUCGAACGGUAGAGGGGGCAACCCCUUGAGAGUGGCGAACGGGUGAGUAAUGCAUCGGAACGUGCCCAGUCGUGGGGGAUAACGCAGCGAAAGCUGUGCUAAUACCGCAUACGAUCUCUGGAUGAAAGCGGGGGACCGAAAGGCCUCGCGCGAUCGGAGCGGCCGAUGUCAGAUUAGGUAGUUGGUGGGGUAAAGGCCCACCAAGCCGACGAUCUGUAGCUGGUCUGAGAGGACGACAAGCCACACUGGGACUGAGACACGGCCGAGACUCCUACGGGAGGCAGCAGUGGGGAAUUUUGGACAAUGGGCGAAAGCCUGAUCCAGCAAUGCCGCGUGCAGGAAGAAGGCCUUCGGGUUGUAAACUGCUUUUGUACGGAGCGAAAAGGUCCUUUCUAAUACAAGGGGCUCAUGACGGUACCGUAAGAAUAAGCACCGGCUAACUACGUGCCAGCCGCCGCCGUAA